RNAcentral lists this long non-coding RNA (805 nucleotides) under Oryctolagus cuniculus (rabbit). RNAcentral describes it as "lncRNA (ENSOCUG00000039022.1)". Lineage: Eukaryota; Metazoa; Chordata; Mammalia; Lagomorpha; Leporidae. The record is from RNAcentral.
GCGCCCGCGACAGUAAAACAUCUGUAAUGUGCCAUUCGCCGCUGCUUGCUGAUUGCUCAUGGAUUAAAGAUUAAAAUCUCGGCUUUGGCAGAUGGGGAGAGAGAGGAAACUCUUACGAGCACGUUUUGCAUCUGCAUUUCAUUCUGCUCUGCUCCCUGCGCCACGCCUGGUGGCGUCCGCCCUACCCCGCCCACCCAGCUCCCGUCUCCCCCUGCGCGCCCAGGCUGGCCCGGACCCCGCGGGCCCCCCGGUCCUCUUCCCUCCCUUCCAGUCGCUCCGACUCUGGGCCCUUCCCCUCCUCCCCUCGUCUCUCUCGUCUGGGGUUCCCGCCUCUGACCCGGUGUGGGUCACUUCCCCGCUCCCGCCCAGGCUUCAGGCAGGAUAUGCUGAAGCUCCCCAGAAAGGGGUAUGCUCGGGUCCGCGAGCUGCGGGCGCCACCCACGUGCCUGCCACCCCUAGCCGACCCACACGGCAGAGCGUGGGAGACACAGGCAGACAGCAGAAAGGAAAACCCACCUGUCGACUCCCACCCUGGGACAGCCCUCCACGUGUUGCUCCAGUCCGUUCUGCACGUGCGCCCAGCGAGAACGGAGUCCUAGGACGCAACCAUUCCGCCGGUCGCCCCCACCAGAAAAAACCAACUGAGUGCACGAGAGAUACAAAUGGAUCGUUUGGUGGAGAAAUCCGUCUUCGUCACCGCCGCCAGGCUGGGAUUAAUGCGAUUGAAGGCUCCUCCAGGCUCCGCCAGGGAGACGGGCUCGGGAAAGCAAGAGAAAUUGGUUUGUACCCCUGGGAGCACGAUUGA